UCCUUUUAAAAAAAACUAAAAAAACCUCUGAAAAAAGGGCUCCGACCCUCAGAGCUCCGACCUCAUGGCCGUCCUGGCUCGUCCUAGGGUCUGGCGUGCUUGGUCUCCACGCGCUUAACGAGCCGCCACCAGAGCCACCGUAUACGGUGGUUAGGGUUUCAAAAACCCUCCAUUUUCUUUGCCGAUUCUCAGGUAUCAACCUUCUCCCUCUGUUUUGAGUUUCUAUUUUUUAGAUCUGGGUGUGUGCAUGUUAGUAAAUGACCAGAUAAGAUUAAAAAAGAAGAAAACGAUUCGAUUACCUUUGAAAAACGAGAUUCGCCUUUUAUUUCUCUGUUUCAAAAGGAUUACAAUGGUUCGUGCUAUUCUAUUAGGUAAAUCCCUAUACCUUCUUUUUUGUUUCUCUUUGCUUCUAAAAACUCUCUUUUUUGAUUCCCUGCUAUUCUUCUCUCUGCUUUUGUGUGGGUGUAUUUCUGCUAUCGGGUCUCUCCCUCCGUGUGUGUCCUUUUUUACAGAAUAAAAAGAAGGCUUUAUAGCCUCGACUACUACAAUUUUUGGAAAGAAAUCUUUGAUUUCUUUCCGUAUUUGCUUCGCAUGUCUGCUGUGAUUUUCUUUCCUUUUCUUGCAGGUACUUGCAAAAAAAUCCGGCAAUAGCAAAGGCUUGACGAUGGUCCACUGGUGGCGUUGAUCUCAGCGUGAGUUGGGGCCUAGAAUCAUAGCCUUGAUGGGGUAGCAGGAGCUGAAGAGUCAUGAGGCUUAGCUUCUGGAACCUUCUGUUUGCGGCGUGAAGAGAAAGAGGGCAGAAACCCUAGGGUUUCUUGCCUGGGUCUGCAGAUGUUUGGGCCAAUUGGGCCUCUGGAAAUUUUGGGUUUGUAAUGGGUAGAGGUGUUUUGGGCUACCAGUCUGUAACGGGUCCAUUGCAACUGUUUGGGACUUAGUUUAGGCUGGGCUAGUCUAGUAAAAUUUGGCUGUUGGGUUUGUGUAUUUAGGCUUUGUAAAAAAAAUUUUAUGGACUGUUUAAAUUAAAUAAAUAAAUAUUUAUUUAUUUAUCUAUUAAUUUUUCAGUUUUAAUAAUCCGGGCAAAUUUUGGUGAUUACAGCUGCCCCUCUUUGCUCAUUGCUAUGUAAUAGGAAUUGAGCAAAGACCAUAAAGGACCAAAUUUGCCCGGCCUAGCCCAAUCUUUGCGAUCUUUUCCUCGAAUGGUCUUCUACCUUCUCCCUACAACCUCAAGAAUGCUAUGCUGAUAUUUUUGAUCUGUUUUCUGCCGAACACAGAGACACUGAGUCUGCUUCUUCGAUUUGUAAGGAUGUCAAAUCAUCUUGAAUCUGUUUGAGAACAUUUGAGAGUCAUAUCUGCAAUGUCCUCGAUUUGUUCCUUGUAAGCACAAGGAUGCCAAACCAUCUUGAGUCUGUUUGAGAACAUUUGAGAGUCAUAUCUGCAAUGUCCUCGAUUUGUUCCUUGUAAGCACAAGGAUGCCAAACCAUCUUGAGUCUGUUUGAGAACAUUUGAGAGUCAUAUCUGCAAUGUCCUCGAUUUGUUCCUUGUAAGCACAAGGAUGCCAAACCAUCUUGAGUCUGUUUGAGAACAUUUGAGAGUCAUAUCUGCAACGUCCUCGAUUUGUUCCUUGUAAGCACAAGGAUGCCAAAUCAUCUUGAGUCUGUUUGAGAACAUUUGAGAACAUUUGAGAGUCAUAUCUGCAACGUCCUCGAUUUGUUCUUUGUAAGCACAAGGAUACCAAAUCAUCUUAGAUCUGCUUCAGUAUAAACAUCUGAAGGUUAGAUCUGCUAUGUCCUCGAUUUGUUUCUUGUAAACACAAGAAUACCAAAUCAUCUUGGAUCUGCUUCAGUAUAAACAUCUGAAGGUUAGAUCUGCUAUAUUUGAGAACGUCUGAGAGUCAAAUCUGCUAUGUCCUCGAUUUGUUUCAAAAAUACCAAAUCAUCUUGGAUCUGCUUCAGCAUAAAUGUCUGAAGUCUAGAUCUGCUGUCUUCAAUUUGUUUCCCAGGGAUGCCAUGUUGAAAUCUUUGAUCUUCAUUGUCCCCUAGAGGACAUGACCUGUAAGAUGAGUAUGUGCCUAUGCCUAAGUAUGCUAUGAUUGAAAUGAGUCGAAUGUCCUUAACAUGUUAUGAUGCAAAGUGCUGUGAAUAUGACCCCCAUCUCAGGUGUCAUCAUUCAUUCCUUCAUUUAUCUUUCUCAAAAUUUUAUUCUUACUCAGCUUGUAGGCCUUCCUCCAAUGCUAUGAUCUACUGAGGAUGUCUGUAAGAAUUGAAUCAUCCAUUUCUUUUUGGACUGGAAGAAAGAAAUCCCUCGAGUUCCUUCAUCCCUUACUUACGUGAAUUUCUCAAACAAUUGUCCUGUUUUAGUUUCUUGUAUCAUCUAGAAAUUCCCAAAGUAAUGUGCAAAACUUCAUUUGUGAAAAUAUUUUAGUUCAUCUAUCAUUAUUUCAAUGCAACAUACUUUAAAAAUAUCGGGAGAUGAGUAAAUCUUUGAGAAUAAUUGGAUUCGAAUUGUUAACAGUACAAAGGAAAUAAGGAUGAUAGCAUAUCUUUAAGAAGAAAUAGAAUCUAAAGAUAGCAAACAGGAUAAAAAUCAGAUGCUCUAAAUAUCGCCGCUUGAGCAUCUAUACAUUAGUUCCCUGAAGCCUUUCUUGACUUCGACAUGUAUUUAAAAGAUCCAAAGUACUUUAUUGAUGCCCCAAUGUACACUGUGCCUCACUUUCUGUCGAGUCAAAUAUAGCAAGGUUGCUGUAUGCCCUUCAAAAUUUGAGCUGCCCUUUCGGGUUUUCAACUCAAAAUCCCUUUGGUCACAAGGUGCCCUUUGUGGGUUUUCACCUUGGCCUCUCCAUUUUUUUUUCAAGGCGCCCUUUGCGGUUUUUCACCUUGGAUUCUUUUCGCUUUUAGACAAAGUACUUUUUGACUGAGUCUGAAUUCACCGGAUUGGGUAGGCUUUUUCCAUCCAUUUCUGUCAAAAUCAAUGCACCACCAGAAAAAACCUUCUUCACGACGUAUGGCCCCUCCCAAUUUGGCAUCCAUUUUCCUCUAAAGUCCUUCUGAAUGGGAAGGAUUUUCUUUAGCACAAGUCCCCCUCACGGAAUUCCCUUGGACGAACCUUUUUAUCAUAAGCUCGCAUCGUACGCUUCUGGAACAUCUGACCAUGUUGGAUAGCCUUCAGCCUCUUUUCCUCAAUCAAGUUUAGCUGGUCAUAUCGAUACUGAACCCAUUCAGCUUCAUCUAACCUUAUCUCUGUUAAAAUUCGAAGAGAAGGUAUUUCCACUUCAAUAGGUAAAACUGCUUCCAUCCCGUAAACUAACGAGAACGGAGUUGCCCCAGUAGAAGUUCUAACAGACGUUCGAUAAGCCAAGAGUGCAAACGAUAGCUUUUCAUGCCAAUCCCUAUAAGUUUCAGUCAUCUUUCCCACUAUUUUCUUAAUGUUCUUAUUGGCAGCCUCCACUGCCCCAUUCAUCUUUAGACGAUAGGGUGAAGAGUUGUGAUGCUUGAUUUUGAACUGGUCGCAAACCUCUGCUAUCAUUUUGUUGUUCAAAUUUAAUGCAUUGUUGGAUAUGAUCCUCUCAGGCAUUCCAUACCGACAAAUGAUUUCCUUCUUUAAAAAUUGACUUACAGCUGUCUUGGUAACAUUUGCGUAAGAAGCAGCCUUUACCCAUUUUGUAAAGUAGUCAAUCACUACGAAAAUAAACCGAUGUCCAUUCGAAGCUUUCGGCGAUAUUGGUCCGAUGACAUCCAUGCCCCACAUGAAAAAUGGCCAUGAAGACGUCAUGACAUGUAAAGGUGAGGGUGGUACAUGAAUUUUGUCUCCAUAAAUCUGACACUUAUGGCAUUUUUUGGCAUAGUUGAUACAGUCUCCUUCCAUAGUGGCCCAAUAGUAGCCAAACCUCAUGAUUUGUCUUGCCAUCGUGAACCCAUUUACAUGCGUACCACAUACACCUUCAUGAACCUCUUCUAAAAUUAGCUUGGCUUCCACAGCAUCAACACAUCUCAAAAGUACUUGGUCUUUCCUUCUCUUGUACAGAACAUCCCCGUCCAAAACAUAGUCACAAGCUAAUCUUCUCAGGGUUCGUUUGUCAUUUUCGGAUGCCUGUGCUGGAUAUUUACGAUCUCUUACAUAUCGCAAUAUAUCCUGAUACCAAGGAUUGUCAUCCUUUUCUUCCUCUUCAAGGUUACAACAGCUAGCUGGAGAUUCAUAGACACUCAUUUGAAUUGGUCUCAUCUCUUCCUCUUUGUUUGCCUUAAUCAUUGAAGCCAAGGUUGCUAAAGCAUCUGCCAUCUGAUUCUCAUCUCGUGGGAGAUAGUUGAAGGUGAUGUCAUCGAACUCUCUUAGUAACCCCAAAACUAUCAUUCGAUAAUUGAUCAAUUUAGGGUCUCUUAUCUCCCAUUCACCUCUUAGCUGAUAGAUUACCAACGGAGAAUCUCUAUAUACUUCUAGGGUUUUUAUGCCUCUUUCUAUGGCUGCUUGGAGCCCCAUGAUGCAUGCUUCGUAUUCAGCCAUAUUAUUUGUACAGUCAAAAUCCAACUUGCACGUAAACGGGUAAUGGUCACCAUUCGGGGAUACCAAGACUGCCCCAAUUCCAUUUCCGACUGCAUUAGAAGCCCUAUCAAAAUUUAGCUUCCAUGGAGAAUCUUCAGUUGCUGCUAUACACAUUAGCUCCUCAUUUGGAAAAUCAAAAUUCAAUGGCUCGUAAUCCUCCAAAGCUCUACUGGCCAAGAAGUCUACCACCGCACUUCCUUUGAUAGCCUUCUAACUUACAUAGACUAUAUCGAACUCUGAAAGCAAAAUUUUCCAUCUCGCCAUUCUUCCAUUUAGAGCCGUUGAUUCCAUCAUGUAUUUUAAUGGAUCUAAUUUUGAGAUGAGCCAAGUAGUAUGGUAUAGCAUGUACUGUCUUAAUCUCCGUGUAGUCCAAAUCAAUGCACAACACAACUUUUCGAUUGGCGAAUAUCUCAUUUCACAGUCAGUGAAUUUCUUACUGAGAUAAUAAAUUGCCUUUUCCUUUUUCCUUGACUCGUCAUGCUGACCAAGCACACAUCCCAUAGAAUUGCUAAACACUGACAAGUAUAGUAUUAACGGUUUAUCUGGACUAGGCGGAGAUAACACUGGAGCAUUCAACAAAUACUACUUGACUUUCUCAAAAGCAUUCUGGUAUUCUUCAUCCCAAACACCUUGAUUGUGCUUUCUGAGGAGAUGAAAGAUAGGAUCACAUUUCUUAGUCAAUUUUGAAAUAAACCGAGCAAUGUAAUUCAACCUUCCUAGGAAUCCUCGAACUUCUUUUUGAGUACGUGGUGGAGGCAACUCUCGUAUGGCUCUGACCUUGUUUGAGUCAACUUCAAUUUCCUUUUCACUGACUACGAAACCUAAUAACUUCCCCGAUCUGGCUCCAAAGGUUCACUUUGCUGGAUUGAGCUUCAACUGAAAUUUUCUCAACCUUAAGAACAAUCUUCUCAAGACCUCAAUGUGUUCUUCUUUUGUUCACGACUUGGCGAUCAUAUCAUCAACGUAUACCUCAAUAUCCUUAUGCAUCAUGUGUGGCAGAGAAAAAUUAUCCUUUGGGCUUGCUUUGUUUAGAUCUUUGUAAUCAACUCACAUUCGUACCUUCCCGUCUUUCUUAGGGACUGGUACAAUAUUAGCUACCCAUUUAGAGUACUUUACUUCCUGCAGAAAUCCUGCAUCAAACUGCUUCUUGACCUCAUCUUUUAUUUUCAGGACAAUGUCUGGCUGCAUUCUUCGCAACUUCUGUUGGACCGGUCUACAUUCUUGUCUUAUCGGAAGACGAUGUACUAUAAUGUCAGUACUCAAUCUGGGCAUAUCCUGAUAAGACCAUGCAAAGAUAUCCUUGAAUUCCUGAAGCAACUCAAUCAAGCUACGCCUUGUGUCAUUAGUGAUCAGUGUUCCAAUUUUCACCUCCUUCCCUUCCUCUAGGGCUAUAUUCUCUAUUGCCUCUUUUUCAUGUGGCAUGAUUUGUUUCUCCUCCUGUCUUACCAUUCUUAUGAGAUCGAGAGAUACGUCACAAUCUUAAACAUCUUCAAAAUCUUGAGGCUCCUCUAAACACAUGUCUUGCUCACAAGAGAAAUCAGGAGCAGCAGUAUUAGCGCUCAUAUCAUUGAUAUCUAGAGACCUGUGAGGGGUAUGAAAGAAUAUACAAAGAAUGAAUGAAUUUAAGAAUGAUCGUUUAUGUGCUAUGAAUAGAAGAAUAAGAGUUGUUAGAAUUUAAAGGAAUAUUGGUUGAUAAAAAUGAGGCAAUACUCUUUUAAAUUAGUAAAAGUUAUGCUUUAUUUUAAUAAUAAUAGAUGAACAUAAGCCUAUUUUCACAAAUGUAAUCUUACUACUCCUAGGCCCUAGAGUAAUAAACAUGUUUCGAGAAUUACUUUGAAAUAUUUCUAAAGACUACAGGAAGAUCCUUCGCAGUCUAAUUGUUUAGAGAACUCCCCGGUUCGUAAGGGCGAAUACCCUCGAGGUUUUCCUGUCCAAACCACUCACUAUGUACAACAUUGAUCUGAUGACUCUCUUCUACCAGCAACCCUCCUGACUUAAAGGUUUUGGAUAUAGGUGGGAAUGUCAUCAGUUCCCACUCUACUUCUCCUCCGUUCAAACGCGCCUUCCUUCUUGCUUGACGCUUUUCCAUCUCCCGUCUCUUUUGUUUAUGGUCUGGCUUAAAACCCAAACCAAAACGAUCCUUCUUCUCUAUCAAUUUUGGGACUUGAAUCCCUCCUUGCAACUGUCUUCCUAGUCCUUUUCCUGGCAAUGCUCCUUUCCCCAUCAUUACUUGCAGGGCCAUCAUUGUUGCUCUAGAUAUUUUAAGAACCGGUGUCUCGCUUUCCUCCGAAAUGAAGGUAGUAUUAAUAAUUUCCAAGGAACGAAAAGAACACUCGAUAGCCUCCUUAUUUGUCUCUACAUAAGGGGCUUUACUGGUGACAGCUGCUAUGAUGUCCUCCUCUGCAUUGAUGGUUAUCAAGCGUCCAUCUGUCACCAACUUCAAUUUUUGGUGCAGUGAAGAGGGCACCGCUCCUGCUGAGUGUAUCCAUGGCCUUCCCAACAAACAAUUAUAGGAGGGCUUGAUAUCCAUUACCAGGAAGUCAACAUCAUACGUAUUUGGUCUAAUUUCCAGAGGGAUGUCAAUUCGUCCCAUUACUUUCCUUUCAGUUCCGUCAAAGGCUCUUACCACAUUAUGACAUGUCUUCAUGUGUGAACUGUCGAUGGGUAAUCUGUUCAAUGUAGAUAAUGGAAGGAUGUUCAAAGCGGACCCAUUAUCAACGAGUACACUUGGAAGCGUGUAUCCUUUGCAACGAGUGGUGAUGUGCAAAGCCUUAGUUGACACUAUGCCCCUAGGUGGAAUUUCAUCAUCAUUGAAGUAGAUGAAAUUAUCAGCAUUGAUGUUAUUUAUCAACCGGUCCAACUUAUUGACAGAUAUAUCAUGAGUGACAUAUGUCUCGUUGAGUACCUUCAACAAUGCUUCUCGAUGCACUUCAGAGCUUAGCAGUAAGGCUAAAACCGAUAUGCGUACUGGUUGCUUACGCAACUGCUCGACCACACUGUACUCACUAUGCUUAGGGAACUUUAGAAAUUCUUUUGCUUUCUCCUCCCUCACUGGCUCGUUAACAGGUACUUCACUCUUUUUCUCAAUUUCAACAUUCUUGGGUUUUGUGAGCUCCACUCUGACGUCUCCCAUAUCAUAACGCUUCCCACUCCACGUAUGGGAACCUUCAUCUCGUACAUCUUUAGAUGCGCUGGCUAUGUUUCCUUCUCCCGGCACCGUCACGCUACAGUCAUAACUCCAUGGUACUUUCUUGCUAUCCUUGUAAGGGAAAGGAGUAGGUGUAUGGAUAAUAACAUUAGGCGCUGCUGGUGUCCCCAUUUUAUUAUUCCCUGGCAGAGAGAUAAUGAUCUUUGGUCUACUGGUUCUUUACUGUUCAUUUUCCAGCACACAUACUUGCUUUUCACUAGAGCUACCUUCAUAAACCUGUAGCUCUUUGUUGUCUAUGAAGCCUUGUACCAAGGCCUUGAAUUCCUCGCAAUCUUCAUGAAGCUUACCGUAAUCCCACGUUCUUUCUUUCAUAUUUUUAGAGGUUAACAUACCUCUCUUCAUCAUCUCCUCCCAGAUUACCCUCAUAGGCAUCCUUAUCUCAUCAACCUUUUUCUUUUCCCUUUUUUCACCGGCUUCACCAAUGGCAUUUACUCCCUAAUUGUCAUGGUUCGGCAAAGAAUUCUCAGUAUUUGGGGUACUCUCAAAUUUCAAAACCCCAUUCUUGAUCAACCUCUCUACGGCUUUCUUGAAUCCAGUACAAUUCUCGAUUGAGUGCCCCGAUAUUCCAGCAUGAUACUCACAUCUGGCAUUUGCAUCAUACCAUUUAGGAUACGGAGGUUGUAAUGGUUUUAAGUGGAAAGGGGCUAUAGCAUGCGUAUCAUAUAGAUUUUGAUAGAGCUCCCUAUACGUCACAGGUAUAGGUGUAAAUUGCAUCCUCUCAUGCCUAAUGUUGGAUUCCUGCUUUUGAGAGUCUUGUUGCCCAACUGUGGCUACUUUGGGCUGGCUAACUGUGACUGCUUUUGAAUUGAAACCACUUGUAUUGUUUACCUCAUUGUCUUUUCUUCUUAGGGUUGAUCUUUUGACUACUUCCCCCUCAAUUCUUCCUCCUCUUAUGGCAUUCUCUAUCAUCUCUCCUGCCAUAACUAUGUCCGCAAAACUUUUAGUAGUGCUUCCAAUCAUAUGAGUAAUAAAUGGGGCUUUCAGAGUAUUAAUAAAUAACAUAGUGGUCUCCUCUCCAACAGUGGUGGUUGGACCUGCAUCGCUACCUCUCUCCACCUCUGUGCAUAUUGCCUAAAAUUCUCAUUAGGCUUCUUCUCUAUGUUUUGCAGGGUAAUCCUAUCAGGGGUCAUGUUUGUUACAUGAUUGUACUGUUGCAUGAAGGCUUGUGCAAGAUCCCUCCAUGAAGAUAUUCUAGCCCGGCUCAACUGAUUGUACCAUCUGGCUGCCGCUCCUAUCAAACUAUCUUAAAAACAAUGGAUCAACAGCUGAUCAUUGUUUACAUACCCCGUUAUCCUUCUGCAAAACAUUGUGAUAUGGGCCUCUGGGCAAGUAGUGCCAUUAUACUUUUCAAAUUCUGGCAUUUUGAAUUUGUGAGGUAACACUAGGUUUGGGACCAGACUUAAGUCAUUGGCAUCAACCCCAUGAUUAUUUCCAAUGCCUUCCAAAGCCUUGAACUUUUCUUCUAACCAUCUGCAGCGUUCAUCCAAUUGCCUUGUAGCUUCAGCCUUCAAAUCCUCCUUUUCCACCAUAUCUAGAUCGGGAACAAGAGGAUUGUAAGAUUGUCACCCAUAUUAAGUCCUGAACUAAUCGGGAAAUUCACAUGGACACCAGCAUCAAUUGGCCCGUGCUGAGGCCUCAGAGUAGUAGAUGGUAUUCUAGGAGGUGCCUCAGUUUGCAAUGAUACAUGCAGCGGUGUAAAACCUGGAGGAGGACCCUUAUUUUCCUCUUCAGUGAUGGCCAUAGGAGCCUUUCCUUUAUCAGUGGCCCUUAGUAACUGAGCCAUUUCGGCCAUUAUAUUCCUCUGAGCUUCCAUCAUUUGUUCCCUCAUCUCAUUCUGCAUCUUAGCCAACUGCUCUUGCAACUGGUCUUGCAUAUCCUUUUGCAAUUGCUCAAACCUUUGAUCCAUGUUCUUAGUUUUAGUGCGAGUGUCGUAAGGAUGUGUAAUUUCCAGUUUUCUUUUCUACCUUUGUAAAGAAACUUUAACUAAUUAGGGUCUUUCUAUAACCUUAAAUGCAUAUGAUAUGAUAUAAUGCAAAUGUAUGAAUGCAGCGAAGGCAUCAAUCUCGAUUCAAUCUCAUUUAGAAAACUUUAUUUAAAAAAAGAAUAUCUUUACGUAUAAAUGGAUUACAAGUAUGCUUUCGCCCUAAUGCCCAAAGUUUUAACUCUAUCUAAUAAAAGGGCUAACUCUCUUCCUAUGUCUGACGACGACCCACACAUCAUACUCAAUACGUUGGCUCGUACAGCCAAGUCUUGCACAUAUUCAGCACCUCUAGAAUCUGAGCUAUGGCUUCUUCCAUGACAUGAUCUCUUUCUCUAAUCUGCCCUCUAGACUGAUGAAGCUUUCCCUUUAGAUAGUCUCCUUGCGUCUCGAGUUGCUCUAUCUGAAGUUUACCUUCCUCCAAUGCUGCUUCCAAAUCUUCAACUUUACUCUUUAGCUCUUUUAACUCGACCGUAGAAUCAUGGUUGCGAUGCCAACGAAGGGAUCUUCCAAGCUCAGUUACUUUAGACUUCAACCCUUUAUUCUCUUCUUCUAAUGCCAAAUUCCGCGAUUGCAUCUCCUGAAACUUCUUCUCCCAGUACUCAGCUCUAACCUUUCCUUCUUGGACCUCUUUCUGCAACUGAUCUGAAGACCCUCCUAUUUUCGCUCUUCUCAAGGAUACCUGUGCCUUCUUGUAGUGUUCUUUCAAGUCAUCUCUAUCCUCUACAAUCUUCCUCUUUUCCUUUCUUUCUUUUUCUACUUCCAUCUUCUGUACAUCGAUAUAUAAACUCAAGUAAAUCUUUUCUUCUUCAAGUUUUGCUAUCCUUUUCUCGAGCUCCAGAUUUUUCCUCUCAAAUUCUUGCUUCAUAAUUUCUAACUCCGAGGGCAUCACUUGCAGAUAUUCCUCCAUCGGUCGAGCUCCUUCCAUAUUUGGCUCAGGAAUGUUAUCAUUGAUCCUUCUACCUCUCCAUUCAACAUAUUUUGGAGUCGUAGCAGGGCCAAUAGCUACUCCUUUCAACCGGCACGUCUUGUUCCAAGCGCUAGAGAUCUCACCGACCCUUUUCUUAUAAUCGGCUCCUCUAUAUGCGAACUCACUUUGAGUUAGCCCAUGAGUCGCUGGCACGAACUGCCUCAAACCGAAUUGCCUUAACACGAGCAAGGGAGCAUAACCAAUGGCACCCCAAAUUCCCAAUAAAGGGACCCAAUUGAAACUGCCGCAACGGUAAAGAACCUCACCAGGAAUCAUCCACGGAGCUCUCCACUCAACAUCUUUCGACUGAAGAUUUUGAAGUAGUGCAAUCCAAUUCUCCUCUGGAACAUCAACUCUCCUAAUUGAAGCGACUAUGUCCUUCAGUGGUGAGUAAUCCUCGAAGAAAACCCGACAAACAACCUUAUCUAUCAACCGAAAAUGACUAUAGAACCAAGCUAGAAGCAAUUGUGCACAACCAACAAACCUGCCUGCGCCAGCUUUCCUACAUGCGCCUAAGGACCUGAAUGUCUCUGCCAAUAUUGCAGGGACAGAGGUGACCCUCUUACUGAGUCUAUAGAAAAGAUCCGUGGUUGCCUCAUCCACAUAUCCCAAGGCCCUAGGGAACACCAUCAAUCCGUACAAACUUAAGGCAAAAACAUCUACCCUUUUUACUUCAUCAGGGUGUGUUAAAAUCAAAUCCUUCAAAGCAUCCCAUGAAAUGCACUUGCACUCGCCCUUCUCUUUAAUUCUGGCAGUAAUCCACUGCUCGCUUAUCCCUGUAAUAGCCAUCAAUUUCUUCCAAAAGGUAGGGACAUUAACAGCUCUAGAAUAGAUUCUAUCUUCCUGGAACCUGGGACAACAUAACAAAGCAGUGUACUCCUCUACAGUAGGCGCCAAAUCUACCUCCCCGAAAGUAAAGCAACUGUACGCUGGAUUCCAAAACUGAGCGAGGGCUCGAAACAAGUGCUCAUCUAUUUGAACAUCGAGCAAGUAAGGUAAGUCUCCGUAAUUACCGUAGAAUAACUAUUUAGUCUCGUUGCCCCAUUGAUCCCAAAUCUCCUUAAGCUCUUGGAGAUUAUUCUGUGUAACACUGAUGCGAGUAUAUCCUGACAGCUCCAACAUAUAUCCCGCAGCUAUACUAUCUCCCUUUUCUCACUGAGUUUGCUCAGACCAUCUAUGGACGUUGGCGUUGCCCUCCACUCUAUCAAGAAGUCCGUUCUCCAUAAUAAAACUCUCUAAUUUAGACGCUGACCGUGAAUCGAUACCUUUGUAAAUGCAAAAUGUCAUGCAAACAAAAGAAGAGAAAUAGUCAGUAUCACAUGAUAUCAAUAAAUCUCAACAAUAAUUUAUAAGGGUAAUAUCUAAAGUUUAACUCUAACUAAGUUGGGCUCUUAUGGUUUUUUCUAUAUGAGGUUGGUUCUAAAGUUUGAGGUACCUGAACCAGCAGAUUCCUCGAUCCUCACCCAUUAUAGGCUCAUUUGAAUCGAGUUCAGUUCAGGGGAAUACAUUUCCCUAUGGCUACACGGAGAUGAAAAUCUCACGAAACCAUAGGUACGGAUGUAUCCCGAAAGUGAUCCACUAUCCUGCACGAAGGUGAAAACCUCACGAAGGCGUAGCUUCUCACUCCCACUUAAGGUUGUGACCACAACGAUCAUGCAAAUGCAAUGCGUAUUAGAAUAUAGCAACACAUGCAAUAAUACAAACACAUGUAAAGCAAAGAGGAUUAAAUCUUAGAAUUUUUUAAAUUUUCGACAUCAAGACAAGAGGUAAUCAAUUACACGGCUUGACUCUCUUAUUGGUCCCUAGUGGAGUCGCCAAGCUGUCGAAACCAUUUUCAAAUCGAGUUUUGGAAAAUGGGAAUCGACUUUAAGAAAAAUGAAAACGGGAGUCGCCACCAAUCUUUUUAGGUGUGAUUGGAUCACCUUUAAAACAUUUGUUUUAAAAUCUUUGGUUUUGGUCUACGAAAUCAAAAGAAUGGGUUCGGGAGUCGGUUACGUACGAGGAAGGGUUAGCACCCUCGUAACGCCCAAAAAUUGGUACCUAAUUGAUUAUCAAAUGUCUUUAAGGUCGAAAAUUAGAAAUUCUAAGAUGUAAUACUCUUUAAAGUAUUUGAAAAUUUGGGUUUACUUGUAUCAAAGUAUCGACUAUAGGUUAGCCUUUAGAAAUCUCUAUCUCAAAACAGCAAAUGCUACAUCCAGUAAGUUAGGACAUAUCACUUUGCAAUUCCAAGACAGUCACUUAUAUUUUGAAAUCCUUUAAAAACUUUAGAAGGGUACUUGACUAUUCAAACUUAACGAGAAAAGUUGCAACCCAAUAAGUUAGGGCACUACUUUUUUCGAAAUUUUCAAACACCAAGUAUUGCCUUUAUAUUUUUUUGAAAAUUUUGGAGACUUGUCCUUUUAAAGAUGAUGCGUGGAGAUUUGUAUUGCAUUAUAAAUCAUAAUAAUAUAUUAUUGUACUAGGUAAAUAAAAAAUGAAUACUAUGAUAAAAAGAAUAAUACAUAUAAAGCAAAAAAAAAAAUGCAAACAAAGAUAUAGCAUGAAUAAACAAGAUAUAUAAACAUAUGAGAUAAUAUUUAAAUGAUGCAUGAUAUAAAAACAAACAUAAUCAAAUAAUGCAUGAUAUACAAAUAGAAUAAAUGUAAUGUCAAUAUGCAUAUAAUUAUAAAAAAAAUUAACACAUACAUGAAACAUACAAUACAAAACAUAUAGAAGAACUAAUAAAAAAUGAUUGAUUGCUAACAAAAUAUACAUACAAUUAAAAACGAGAUAUUUCAUUUCCAUUUUAAAAUAGUAUCUAAUAUAUAAUAUAAUAACAUAAUAAAAGAAUAAUAAUUAUAUAAUAAUAUAUUGGUUUGAAAGUAUGUAAGAGAUUUCAUAAUAUAACAAUAUUAGUUUAAAAUGAAAUAAUAUAUAUAUAGUAAAUAAAUAAAAAAUGAAAUGUGUAUAUAAUACGAGUUUAAAAAUAUAAUUUAAUAAUAAUUUACAUUUUUAAAAUAAUAUAUAUGUAAAAUAAUAUAAUUUGCGAUACAUGAUAUACAUAACAUAUAUAUAAAAAAAACAACAAAUAAUAUAAAAAUAAAACAUAAUAAAGAUUAUAUAAUAAAAUGUAAUAUAAACAUAUAAGAAAAAUAAUAAAUAUAAUAUAAAGUAACGUAUAAAACAAUAUAUAUAUAUAUAAGUAAUUAAUAAAUAUAAUAUAUGUGAAAAUAUAAUAAUAUAUGAAAGAGAUGUAAAAUAAUAAUUUAAGGAAAAUAAUAUAUAUAAUAAGUAAUAAUAAUAUAUAAUUAAAAAGAAUACUUAUAAUAAAAUAAUUUUAUAAUAUAUAAUAUAAAAGUAAAAUUAAAAUAAACAAAUAAUAUAUAUAUAUAGAAUAAUAUAAUAAAUAUAUGACUAAAUUUAAAGUUUAACAAAAUUAUGGGGCAAAUUUUGAAAGGGAAUAAAACUGAAUUAAGGAUUAAAAUAAUAGAUAAUAAGUAAGGAUUAAAAUUAAAAAUAGAUAGAAUAUUAGGGUUAAUUUAAAAAAAUAAAAAAAACAAUUUGGAUUAAUUUGGAAUGCACGCUAAAAUCUCAGGGACUCGCUGGGUAAAUAACCCUAGUCCUUGAAACGGUGUCGCUCUCAGGAUUAGCAUUGAACAGAGGACUAAAUUAUAAUGAAAACAGAAUAUUUGGGCCAAUUUUAAAUAAAACGAGAUUUGAAUCAGAUGAAAUUAAAUAAUCUAAAAAUGCAGAAGGACCGAGGGAAUAAAUGUCCCACUAUAGCGGUAAAACACGCGGACCUUCGGAUCGGAUCGGGUCGAAUUUUGGACCCUAUAUAAAUCUCAUUUUGCCCGAAAAAAAAACAGUCUGUAACUCCUUUAAAAAAAAACUAAAAAAACCUCUGAAAAAAGGGCUCCGACCCUCGGAGCUCCGGCCUCGUGGCUAUCCUGGCUCGUCCCAGUGUCUGGCGUGCGUGGUCUCCACGCGCUUAACGAGCCGCCACCAGAGCCACCGUAUACGGUGGUUAGGGUUUCAAAAACCCUCCCUUUUCUUUGCCGAUUCUCAGGUAUCAACCUUCUCCCUCUGUUUUGAGUUUCUAUUUUUUAGAUCUGGGUGUGUGCAUGUUAGUAAAUGACCAGAUAAGAUUAAAAAAGAAGAAAACGAUUCGAUUACCUUUGAAAAACGAGAUUCGCCUUUUAUUUCUCUGUUUCAAAAGGAUUACAAUGGUUCGUGCUAUUCUAUUAGGUAAAUCCCUAUACCUUCUUUUUUGUUUCUCUUUGCUUCUAAAAACUCUCUUUUUUUGAUUCCCUACUAUUCUUCUCUCUGCUUUUGUGUGGGUGUAUUUCUGCUAUCGGGUCUCUCCCUCCGUGUGUGUCCUUUUUUACAGAUUAAAAAGAAGGCUUUAUAGCCUCGACUACUACAAGUUUUGGAAAGAAAUCUUUGAUUUUUUUCCGUAUUUGCUUCGCAUGUCUGCUGUAAUUUUCUUUCCUUUUCUUGCAGGUACUUGCAAAAAAAUCCGGCAAUGGCAAAGGCUUGACGAUGGUUCACUGGUGGCGUUGAUCCUGGUGUGAGUUGGGGCCUAGAAUCAUGGCCUUGACGGGGUAGCAGGAGCUGAAGAGUCAUGAGGCUUGGCUUCUGGAACCUUCUGUUUGUGGCGCGAGGAGAAAGAGGGCAGAAACCCUAGGGUUUCUUGCCUGGGUCUGCAGAUGUUUGGGCCAAUUGGGCCUCUGGAAAUUUUGGGUUUGUAAUGGGUAGAGGUGUUUUGGGCUACCAGUCUGUAACGGGUCCAUUGCAACUGUUUGGGACUUAGUUUAGGCUGGGCUAGUCUAGUAAAAUUUGGUUGUUGGGUCUGUGUAUUUAGGCUUUGUAAAAAAAAACUUUUAUGGACUGUUUAAAUUAAAUAAAUAAAUAAAUAUUUAUUUAUCUAUUAAUUUUUCAGUUUUAAUAAUCCGGGCAAAUUUUGG
RNAcentral lists this long non-coding RNA (15635 nucleotides) under Gossypium barbadense (sea-island cotton). RNAcentral describes it as "long non-coding RNA (GBAR_LNC000310)". Lineage: Eukaryota; Viridiplantae; Streptophyta; Magnoliopsida; Malvales; Malvaceae. The record is from RNAcentral.